UACGAAGGGGGCUAGCGUUGCUCGGAAUCACUGGGCGUAAAGCGCACGUAGGCGGCUUUCUAAGUCAGGGGUGAAAUCCUGGAGCUCAACUCCAGAACUGCCUUUGAUACUGGAGAGCUUGAGUCCGGAAGAGGUGAGUGGAACUCCGAGUGUAGAGGUGAAAUUCGUAGAUAUUCGGAAGAACACCAGUGGCGAAGGCGGCUCACUGGUCCGGUACUGACGCUGAUGCACGAAAGCGUGGGGAGCGAACAGG
Molecule: ribosomal RNA, 253 nt
Filed under: uncultured bacterium
Lineage: Bacteria
Description: partial 16S ribosomal RNA
Rfam family: Bacterial small subunit ribosomal RNA
Source: RNAcentral